GAUGAAGAACGCAGCGAAAUGCGAUAAGUAAUGUGAAUUGCAGAAUUCAGUGAAUCAUCGAAUCUUUGAACGCACAUUGCGCCCACCAGUAUUCUGGCGGGCAUGCCUGUCUGAGCGUCAUUUCAACCCUCAUGCCCCUAGGGCGUGGUGUUGGGGAUCGGCCAAAGCCCGCGAGGGACGGCCGGCCCCUAAAUCUAGUGGCGGACCCGUCGUGGCCUCCUCUGCGAAGUAGUGAUAUUCCGCAUCGGAGAGCGACGAGCCCCUGCCGUUAAACCCCCAACUUUCCAAGGUUGACCUCAGAUCAGGUAGGAAUACCCGCUGAACUUAAGCAUAUCAAUAAGCGGAGGA
Molecule: unclassified non-coding RNA, 348 nt
Filed under: soil metagenome
Description: partial contains 5.8S ribosomal RNA, internal transcribed spacer 2, and large subunit ribosomal RNA
Rfam family: 5.8S ribosomal RNA (bases 1-120)
Source: RNAcentral